GUCUACAGCCAUGCUACCCUGAACAAGCCCGAUCCUGUCUGACCUUGGAAGCUAAGCAGGGUCGGGCCUCAUUAGUACUUGGAUAGGAGACCACCUAGGAAGACCAGGUGCUGUAGGCA
RNAcentral lists this ribosomal RNA (119 nucleotides) under Pteropus alecto (black flying fox). The record is from RNAcentral. Lineage: Eukaryota; Metazoa; Chordata; Mammalia; Chiroptera; Pteropodidae.